CCUUCCUCUGGUGGGCGGAGCCGCGGCAUUAUUUGUUGAAGAGUGGGGGCUGCGGCGACGGUCGUCGGGUCGAGGGGGGA
RNAcentral lists this transfer RNA (80 nucleotides) under Sphingomonas aquatilis NBRC 16722. RNAcentral describes it as "tRNA-Asn". Lineage: Bacteria; Pseudomonadati; Pseudomonadota; Alphaproteobacteria; Sphingomonadales; Sphingomonadaceae. The record is from RNAcentral.